This 164-nucleotide ribosomal RNA is filed under the name uncultured bacterium. RNAcentral describes it as "partial 16S rRNA". It matches the Rfam family "Bacterial small subunit ribosomal RNA", at positions 355 to 511 of the family's 1533-position model. The record is from RNAcentral.
UAGGGAAUCUUCUACAAUGGACGCAAGUCUGAUGGAGCAACGCCGCGUGAGUGAAGAAGGUCUUCGGAUCGUAAAACUCUGUUGUUAGAGAAGAACACGAGUGAGAGUAACUGUUCAUUCGAUGACGGUAUCUAACCAGCAAGUCACGGCUAACUACGUGCCAG